This 427-nucleotide ribosomal RNA is filed under the name uncultured bacterium. RNAcentral's name for it is "bacterial SSU rRNA". It matches the Rfam family "Bacterial small subunit ribosomal RNA", at positions 355 to 774 of the family's 1533-position model. The record is from RNAcentral.
UAGGGAAUAUUGGACAAUGGGCGCAAGCCUGAUCCAGCAAUGCCGCGUGCAGGAUGAAGGCCUUCGGGUUGUAAACUGCUUUUGUACGGAGCGAAAAGGUCUGCCCUAAUACGGCGGGCUCAUGACGGUACCGUAAGAAUAAGCACCGGCUAACUACGUGCCAGCAGCCGCGGUAAUACGUAGGGUGCGAGCGUUAAUCGGAAUUACUGGGCGUAAAGCGUGCGCAGGCGGUUAUAUAAGACAGAUGUGAAAUCCCCGGGUUCAACCUGGGAACUGCAUCUGUGACUGCAUCGCUGGAGUGCGGCAGAGGGGGAUGGAAUUCCGCGUGUAGCAGUGAAAUGCGUAGAUAUGCGGAGGAACACCGAUGGCGAAGGCAAUCCCCUGGGCCUGCACUGACGCUCAUGCACGAAAGCGUGGGGAGCAAACA